Molecule: ribosomal RNA, 461 nt
Filed under: uncultured bacterium
Lineage: Bacteria
Description: bacterial SSU rRNA
Rfam family: Bacterial small subunit ribosomal RNA
Source: RNAcentral
AGCGAACGUUGGCGGCACGCCUAACACAUGCAAGUCGAGCGCGAACGGACUUCGGUCCUAGUAGAGCGGCGCACGGGUGAGUAACGCGUGAGAACCUACCCCUUGGUCUGGGACAACAGUCCGAAAGGACUGCUAAUACCGGAUGUGAACUAAGGUGGAAAGCUGGGGACCGGAGACGGCCUGGCGCCAGGGGAUGGGCUCGCGUCCUAUCAGCUAGUUGGUGAGGUAAUGGCUCACCAAGGCGACGACGGGUAGCUGGUCUGAGAGGAUGAUCAGCCACACUGGAACUGAGACACGGUCCAGACUCCUACGGGAGGCAGCAGUGGGGAAUUUUUGCGCAAUGGGCGAAAGCCUGACGCAGCGAUGCCGCGUGUACGAUGAAGGCCUUUGGGUCGUAAAGUACUGUCAACGGGGAAGAAACGCAUCAUGUUGAAUAGGCAUGUUGUCUGACGGUACCCGUG